Gossypium hirsutum (cotton) is the source of this 107-nucleotide non-coding RNA. The record is from Rfam. NCBI's taxonomy places the organism in Eukaryota, Viridiplantae, Streptophyta, Magnoliopsida, Malvales, Malvaceae.
AUCCCAUGAUGAGGACACUUACGAAGUAACUCCUUGAAUAGCUCCCAAGCCUCAUACAAAGACUCGCCAUCCAAUUGUUGGAAAGUUAUGAUCUCGUUCCUCAACUU